Molecule: long non-coding RNA, 401 nt
Organism: Oncorhynchus tshawytscha (Chinook salmon)
Lineage: Eukaryota; Metazoa; Chordata; Actinopteri; Salmoniformes; Salmonidae
Source: Ensembl
GCAACGAUUAAGGUUAGUCAUUCAUCCUGAAUGGUUCAUGCAACGAUUAAGGUUAGGUAUUCAUCCUGAAUGGUUCAUGCAACGAUUAAGGUUAGUCAUUCAUCCUGAAUGGUUCAUGCAACGAUUAAGGUUAGGCAUUCAUCCUGAAUGGUUCAUGCAACGAUUAAGGUUUGGCAUUCAUCCUGAAUGGUUCAUGCAACGAUUAAGGUUUGGCAUUCAUCCUGAAUGGUUCAUGCAACGAUUAAGGUUAGGCAUUCAUUCUGAAUGGUUCAUGCAACGAUUAAGGUUUGGCAUAGGCUUAAAACAAAAUAUAAAAAACAACUUUAUAUCACUGGAUUCGAACAUGCAACCUUUGACCCUUUGGAACCACAGACAGAUGCUUAUGCUCAUCUACAAUGCCC